GCGGUCGGGCGUUGGGUUUCGCGGCGCUCGCCGCACUGGUUGUUCAGCACCUUCGGUCCGGUUGAGGUUGUCAAGUCGGACCAAACAGGUUGUUUCUCUGCAGUUUCCAAGACAGGGUCUCACUAUGUUGCCCAGGCUGGUCUUGAACUCCUGGCUUCAAGCAGUCCUCCCACCUUGGCCUCCCAAAGUGCUGGGAUUACAGUUACGAAAGAUGAGUAUUUAGUACUCCAUUUGUGCUGUUUUCCUUUUGUGGUAUCAUUCAGCCUUGUGGCUUCAAACAUUGUACUGAAGAUUCUCAGACUUAUUACUACAUGGCAGGGAGGUUUAAUAGACAUGGAUAAGAAGUCCACUCACAGAAAUCCUGAAGAUGCCAGGGCUGGCAAAUAUGAAGGUAAACACAAACGAAAGAAAAGAAGAAAGCAAAACCAAAACCAGCACCGAUCCCGACAUAGAUCAGUGACGUCUUUUUCUUCAGAUGAUCCUAUGUUUCCUUCUUCCUCAUCAUCGUCUUCAGGAAGCCAGACAGAUUCAAGUAUUGAAGAUGCUGCCAAGGGAAAAAUUAAGAAGAAGAGAAGAGAGAAAACAAAUAAAUGGGAAAAAAGAAAGGACAAAAUAUGAAACACCAAGAAAAAGAGAAGGAAAAAAAGGAGGAAACAACCACAUAUGUCACCUUUCCAAGAGGGACUGAAACUGGGCUGACCCUUUUGAUUUCCAAGCUCAGCGUUUUGGUGUAAGGCGGCCAAAGAAGGAUGCGGAGCCCAGCACUGUGAAGCCUACAAAAACAUUGAUGCGCUGGCUUGGGGAUUUGAAUUUGAACAUCUUUCACACUAAGUUCAGACUCAUGAAACCAAUCUUCAGAUGCUCUGUAAACCACAUAAUAAAGAGUUUGGAAAUUAUA
Molecule: long non-coding RNA, 898 nt
Organism: Homo sapiens (human)
Lineage: Eukaryota; Metazoa; Chordata; Mammalia; Primates; Hominidae
Product: long intergenic non-protein coding RNA 467
Source: Ensembl